CAAGUAACCCUUCCUCCUGUUCUAUACAGCCAAAAACCCUAUAGAUCGAAUAUUAGCAUCAUUAUCAUCAUAUUCCCUAGAUUAAGAGCUCUGAGACUGAAAUACUCUAUCCUUCAAUGGCGUUAACGAACUUUAUACUAACGGUGGUCGGAGUGAGCGCGGCGAUAUUAUUGCUGAGGAGCGAUGUCAAACAGUCUGCUUCCAUCUUCAAGCGUAACGUUCGUCAAAUUCGCCAUUGGCUCGAGGAAGAGUCUUCCUCCGCCGCCAAGGAAUUGGAGAAGGCAAAACCAAAGGAGAUACCUCACAAAGACAUUCCUAAGGAGGAUAAGCAUUAGACGAAUCUCAGGAAUCUUUAUAAUGAAAUAGAGAGGGCAGAACCAAAGGAGAUACCUAGAAGACAUUCACUAGCAGAACAAGAAUGAGACAUGCCUCAGGAAUCUUGAUAGUUUCAUAAUUUGCAUUUUCUCACCUGUGCUUUACCUUCUAUUCUGUAUAAAAUUCUUCAUAGUUUGAUUUCUGAUAGUGGAUUAUUAUUCUAUUUUCUUAGCUACUCAACUGCUUGGUACAUGUGUCCCUAUGAAUAUCAAUAUGUUCACUUAAUUUUAGCUGUUUGUUGGAAGUCAUCGUUUAACAUAACUUGCUGCACUUGCUAGACUGCUUAGGAUUUUGAUGUAAUCAAGUCCAGACUUAUCUUUGUACUGUCACAGUAUCAGCUUGAUACUGUUUCCAAUAAAACCUCACCUUAUAAAAAAAAAAUAGAUCCUUGGCAUAAGCUCAUGAAAUUUGAAUAAAUAGGCUGGAUAUGGUCGUUAAUGCACUUAUGGUGAGAAAUGAUCAUUUAUUUCACGUUCUGUAUUGAUUCAUAAAGGAAAUUCUUCAUUUUACUAUUGCCCAGAGAUAUAACUGAUGCAAAACCAUGUCAGGGAGAUGAAUAUUUGAAGGAUAGUGAACUCUGCUUUACUCUUUUAUUCAGGAAUCAUGAGCUUUUAUGAAUUGUAGUUGUGGACGACAAAUGUGGAGUAAAUUGACAUGUUAAGAUCUGAAAUUUAUCCUUCACAAAAGAAAAGCAAAUGCAAUUGCAAAAAUUGUUGAGUUUGUAGGUGGUCAUAUCUAAUUUGUCAUUAGAGCUCAGCACAACUCCUUAAUGAUUAAAACUUUUGAACCAGUUACAUUAAAUGCAUAAGCACAAUGAACUCAACUCUUGCACGGUGAUUUACUUAAAAUAGCACUUAUGGUAGCAAUUUCAAGUCUACCGCAUACCCAUUGAAACUAGUUAGUGGCCUUGUCAUGUUUGACAUCCUUUAUUUGAUCGGCUUGUUGGAAUAGAUAGAUGACCUGUUUAUUCACUAUGACAAGCUUAGUAUGCUUGUUAGUUACUCUAGAAUGACUCUGUCCGGGAAACCUAUUUUUCAACCUCUGAUAGCUGCAGAUAUCAAGUUCUCUCUGGCUAUCGUAUUGGUGGCACUGGGGGACUCAUUACCUUGUUCUAAAAGCUGUCUUACUCUGGAUGCCAAGCUAGGUCAACCAAGUGCAUGUUAUUAUAUUCGGACUGAAUUCGAAUUACAUGUGCUGCGCUGAGUUGCCAAAGUAGAGAGUAAAGCUAGUAAGGUGUUAACAGGAGAAUACUAUCAUCCCUGUUGAGCAAGGCACACUUGAAUACUAUCAUCCCUGUUGGUUCAUCAUUGUGAGGUUGGGAAAUGCAUUGAUGUCUUUAUGACUAACUGACUAUCAGGCAGAACUAAAAGGAAUGAGAUUUGCAUUCAUUCGUUCAUGAUAAUGACGAGAUCUGAAGAUGUAUUUUGUUCUACAGUAACACAAACAUGAUUCUCUUUUCGAUUGGACAAGGCCAGGAAAGGUAACAUGUGGUAUGAAUGUUGCAUGUUGUUGUGGACCAUCAAAAUGCAGAGCAAUUUUCACCUACCCAGAAACCAAGAGUGAAACUAUUUGAAGAGCAAACAGAACAGCAAAGAAAGCUAAACUUUAAGGAAAGUAGUAGUCAUAUUCUACAUGUAGAAAUUGUUUUUUAUGUCACUCGUAAUGCAACAGGGAUACUGAUUUGUACAAGACUGCCUAUCCCAGAGAAAACUGCUGUGCUGGUAUAGAAUAGCAACCAAUUAUAAGCAUAAAGAUACACACAAACGGACGAAGCUUCAGAUGAAACCGGGUGGCUCGUUGGAGAGUUUUUGGAGAAACCUGUGUUAGAAGAAAGAUAUUUACUUGGUAGUUGGAGGAAGAAAUUCAAGACUAGAUAAAGGAAAAUUUUAGGAGGAAGAAUAAAGCAAUGUUUCAUCAUUAUUUCCUCCUGGAUAGUAAGCCAGCAUCUGUAGCAAGAGAAAGUACAUCGAGAAAAUUACAAGAUAAUGGUUGGCUAUUUUCUUGUCAAUAUUGCAUUGAUUAGACAAGUUGAGAUCAAGUGGUUUUGACACCCACAGGUCGAAGGUGCUAGAGUGUGAUAUGGGCACACGUGUGUGCUAGUUUGCACUAUAUCGUUGCAUAUAGAUUCCUAAUACAUAUGUCUGUCAUGUUGGCCUGGCAUCUGAUAAUUUCCAGAACAGAAUGCAUGAGUAAUUGAGUAUUGUCUAACUUUACUUGCAUUCUUAUUAAUGGGCUUGACUACAUGGAAUCAUAAGACACAUCCUACUAACCACCCUAAGAGAAGCGGCGAAGAAAUGCCUGAGGUUCGUUGCAGUAUUGGGUAGCCCGGUGCACAAGGUAUCCCGCGUUCACGCAAGGUUCGGAGAAAGGUCGCAUCUUAAAGUGUGUGAUAUAGACAACAUACCCUAAUGCAAGCAUUAGUAGCUGUUUCCACGGGUCGAACCAGUGACCUAUAGGUCAUAUGGAGACAACUUUAGCGUUAUUCCAAGUAUCCCUUCAGGUUCGUUACAGUAUUGAGUGGUGAAAUAUAUCUGUGUUGCCUUCUGAAUUGGCUUCCGAAAGUGUACGUUUAAUAUUUGAUUAUUGCAAUUGCGAGUGAUCACAGUUUUUAUCAUAUGCCGAGGGCUCAUUGAGAAGGCUGCAUGUCACUCUGUUGAUUAUAGAUUAAAGUGAAAAUUUUGGUUUA
Nicotiana tabacum (common tobacco) is the source of this 3061-nucleotide long non-coding RNA. RefSeq lists it as uncharacterized. The record is from RefSeq and is a predicted model, not a curated record. NCBI's taxonomy places the organism in Eukaryota, Viridiplantae, Streptophyta, Magnoliopsida, Solanales, Solanaceae.